UGUGUUUUCCUAGCAGACGUUUUGUCGAUCUCACGAGCAAUUAAUUUUAAGUUUUUUUUUAAAGAGAGGGGAAAAGAUGAUUGAUUGACAAGAAAGUAAAUGAAAAAAAUAAAAAAUAAAUAAAAUAAAAAUGCGUUGACAAACAAGGAGAAUAUUGGAGUUGAAAUAUGUGGUUUGUUACUUGCUAGCCGUAAGCCUUUUCAAGUUGUUGACAAUUUAGCUCGUCGCACAUGCUGCGAUAUAAAAAUUACAAUGCCGGGGAAAGUAAAAGUGAAAAUUCUUGCUGGAAGAAAUCUUCCUGUAAUGGAUAGGUCAAGUGACACGACGGAUGCAUAUGUUGAGAUAAAGUUAGGUGGUAUAACACACAAGACAGAUGUCUUCAGAAAAUCACUUAAUCCGCAAUGGAAUUCCGAGUGGUUUAUUUUUGAGGUUGAUGAUGCAGAGCUUCAGGAUGAACCCCUUCAAAUAAGAUUGAUGGAUUAUGACACUUAUUCAGCUAAUGAUGCCAUAGGAAAAGUGUACUUGGAUUUAAAUCCUCUUUUGGUCACACCAGGCCUCUCUGGAAGAGGAAUUGCUAGAGCGGAAACUUGUUCGGUCCCAUCGUCAGGAGGUACUGUGUUGUCAGGGUGGCUUCCAGUAUAUGAUACAAUGCAUGGGAUGAGAGGGGAAGUGUCUGUCAUAGUCAAAGUUGAAUUAUUUUCUGAUGUGAAUAAGUUUCGGCAAAGUUCUUGUGGGGUCCAAUUUUUUAGUACUCCAGCCACCCCUUAUGGAUUUAAAAUUCAGUCUAUUCAAGGUUUUGUGAAAGAACUGGUUGUUAACGAUGACCCGGAAUAUCAAUGGAUAGACAAGAUCCGAACACCAAGAGCAUCAAAUGAAGCCCGGCAAACGUUGUUUUCCCAACUGUCCGGUGAAGUGCGUCGUAAAAUCGGAUUAAAAGUAUUGGAGCUUGGCGGAAAUGCUGUUGUCGGGUAUCAACAGAUGUUUGACCUUGAAGGAGUAACUGGGCUAGUAGUACGUGGUAUAGGGACAGCUGUAACCUUGGCUCGGUGCCAUUUUGAUGGAAACUCAGCUGUUACUUGGUUUAAAGACCAGCAUCAUGGAAACGGCCGAGAAUCUCCCCGCUGUACAGCCAUUUCGCCAGUCGAUGUCAUUAAACCGCUCGUUAGUUCUACCAUCACUGCUCCAGUUGUCGUUCAUGGAACAACACCUUCACGGCCAACUCCUUGUGCGCGUCGUUCAUCCGAAUCUGAAAUCAACACAACCCCGAAAGGUACUUCAAGUUUGUCUGAUAGCUUUGGCUCAUCUGGAGGUGGAAUAUCAUCCAACUGCCGACAGACGGCUCAUCGUCAAACUUCAGUACCUGUUCCUCCCUCGAAUACAUAUCUUAACGGCGUUGAUGUUACAAGGAAUUUGGACGCUCUCGAAUAUCCUUUCCUGACAAUGAAAACAUAUCCACCGGGAUUCAUUGUUCACGUUGGAGGCACCGUGAGUGCCAGAUCCGUAAAACUGUUGGAUCGAAUCAACAACUCGGAGGAACCAGAGACACGAGAUAAUUGGUGGACUGAAAUUAGAAUGGAAGUUCGUUCACAUGCUCGGGCGCUCGGCUGCUCCGUGAUUCUUGGCUAUGAGGAGCAUACAAGUAUUAGCGAGGAAGUUUGUGUUCUGAGCGCAUCCGGUACGGCAGCCAUCGUCAAACUUCAACACGAGGUGGAUACCAAAGAUGUAAACCAUGGAAAAAGUAAUACCGUUAUCACUGAGGAUAGUAAAGUGAAUCUCCCUUGCCGCGUGUGUCAUAUCCCUUAUAGCAAGGCCAGCAUUCCUUUCCCUAUCAAACUUUCUCGCUGUGCUGUAUGCAGGAAAGGUAAAGUUCCUGACGUGUUAAUAGCCACUAUCGAACCUCCUACAGGAAUGCUCGUGUCGGGUCGCGGAUGUUUGAUACAGGCACGGCUCUGCCGCCCGAAACGUGCCGAAUCUCGAGGCGAUCAGCAAGCUAAAGAAAUUUCAGACGGGCUGCCUUUCCUUGAAUACGAAUUGCAUAGACAAUUAAUCAAUAAAUUACGAACCAAAGGCAUGAACGCCAUCUUUCAUCUAAAGGUGCAAGUCAGCAUCGGAGAUCGACAUGUAGUUGGGGUUGCUACAGGCACGGCGCUCUUCUUAAGCGCAUUACCCACUCCGUCGUUACCUAAACCAAGCAAUCCUAGCAUAUCUUCGAAACAGUCGAAACGAGGACGUAUUCACAAGUUAUUGAUUGAAGCCCACGCGGCCAGCCAAGAACGUUAUGGUCUGAACAAACAACUGAAUAAAGUAAAUGACGUGGAAGAACCUAAGUGGACUGACUCGGAUGAUACCGACGAGGAUGCCAACGAUCUCGAUCUAACAGCUGACAAUAAAGAUUCAUGCGUCAUAGAAAUUGACGACAUUGAAGAUAUCGACGUGAUUGAAUUACUGAUUGACCCCGAAACCCCAGAAGGUUUUGACGUGGUGAAUACUGAGACGGUGCCUGGAUUACCGAUCGAUAGCAUUCGCCGGCGUCCUAAUCUUCAAGCCUUCAACCGCGUUUGGAAGGGAAAGAUCCCCACCUUACAAGCUGCACGACAUCUAAAUCGCUGCUUUGAAAUGAUAUUACGGAGCAUUUACUUCAAGUUGCGUAAGUCACGCCCGUGUGUGAUCACAAACCUUGAAUUCAGCGUCGAUUUGCCCGAAGAUGAUGAAAUUCAAAUUACUGUACUAGGUACUGCCAUCACGGCCUUCAGCAAAACUCCGACAGAGGUUGCCCCAUGCAUAGGAACUUCUCUCAGAGGCGUUGGUUCCGCUGAAAGCGAAAUGAUUUUUCAUCUUGAGGAUGACGUUCAAUCGGCAACGUCAAACGAGCAAGCCGCUUCAACGGCAAGGGUAAAUCAACCCAACCGUCAUAUUCCUCUUCCGCCCCCGUCCAAUCAGGGGCUGUUAAGAACUCCUGGCGACAAAGCCAAGAUUUUUGUACAGAAGGAGCGACAGCCGGUAGAUAUAGUGACUCUAAUCCAUUUACCCGGUUCACGAGUCGAACGCUACCUAGGCCAUCUAAAUUUUUUCUUCAUACGAGAGAGUACUAGUAUUCGCGAGGAUGGCGGCUUGAGCGGUUUCAUGCAAUCGUUUAUUACAGAGGUACUGGGAAUCGUGCGUGCUCACGUCUCCGCACUAGGAGGAAACGCUAUGGUUUCGUACUUUAUGACGCAGUGUGUACUUUUGCAUAAUCCUCACAAAAAUCAGGGUCAAUGCCUCAUCAAUGUUGGUGGUGAUGUCGUUCAAGCUGCCCGCUGCAUGCCCGAAAAGGAUGUUUAAAAGGCGUUUUACAAUUGUUUCGGUAGAUUGUAUCCACGGUAAAGAGAUUACUCCAAAUUCUUCCUUAACCGCUUCCAUCGAGGAAAAGGAUACUAUAUACUACAGAAUUCUGUAGACGUUCAAGUUCGACGUUGCGUUAAACGUCCUUUACCUCUUUGAGGUGCCCGUGUACCCCAUUUUGCCCGCCCAACACGUGGGAAUCAAUCUUGUCUUAAUUUUCCUGAGAUGUCAAAAGUGGAAUCCGUUGCUUCACUGACCCACAGCUGAUAACGACGUCGAAUGUGGAAAGCUACUGAAAAACAAGUGAUUAAUAUCAUCAUUUAUUUUCUGAAGCAUCAACAUUAAUUCUUGGCGGACAUGAAUUCUCUGCCGCGUGUGUUACAAAUCGAAUAAAUAUAUCGACCAAUA
This 3729-nucleotide unclassified non-coding RNA is filed under the name Daphnia magna. RNAcentral describes it as "c2 domain-containing protein 5, transcript variant X3". The record is from RNAcentral. Lineage: Eukaryota; Metazoa; Arthropoda; Branchiopoda; Diplostraca; Daphniidae.